GAUGGUUUGUUGGGCGCCAGUAUCAAACAGCAUUACAGCUUUUUCGAAUGUCUCUACCUUGGAACUAUCAUCAACACCUUCGAGGAUCACCUUUGCAGUUAUUGUGGCUAAAUUUUGCGAUUCAAGAGCAGCUGGGAUCACAACUGGAUAUGGUUCUUUGUACGGUGGGAAAGGCUGGGCAUUCUCUUUCGCACGCUGUUUCAUUUGUGGUGAUGGUGGAGUGGGUAGGGGGACUUGGUUCGUGUCAUAUUGAAGUCGAAUGGGCUUGGUAAGGCUUGUGCUGGCGUCGAAUGAUGCCUGUGCCUGUACUUGUUGAAGAGCUUGGUUCCUGAGGUCACGCUUCCUUAGGGCGGGGAUUGGGGGGUCGAUGGAUAUCUUUCUGUCCAAUCCAGUAAGACUCCCGGAAACCGUUUCAAGGCAUUUCUGCCAAGUUGUUUCAUAUGGGGUGGACACUCUAAGAUCCGGCAAAGCAGUGUUAAUGGCCUUUCCCACAUGGGAGAGGAGAUGGAAAGGGUGAAACGCGACUACUCUCGUUGUAGCCUCUUCAGUUGGCUUAGAGUCUGUUGCAAGGUUGUUCAUUUUGGCGUUGCGACAGUGCGAGUUAUCGAUGGAAUAACAGCACAAACUUGAAUCGUUAAGGCUCACACACUUGCAGUUCAAGCAGACGAGACUCUGAUCGUUGUUUGUCAUGGGUUAUGAGGUUUGUGGGAUGGACGGCGCCUACCUCUUUUAGAGAAGGCAAUUAUCUCUUCACCUUAAAUCAAGUUUAUUUAACGUAUUAUUAAAACCUGACAGGAAAGAAGAGUUAGAUGAAGAUAUCACCGCGGGCAAGGAACAAUGUGAGGCCUAGACCCUACGCAGGAGCAACCCCCCUGGCUCUACAUUGCUCCCACUGUAGUUAGGCCGACUGCAUGGAGCAAUGCAGGUGAUGCAUGUUAUUGCCACGAGGGUACCGCUGGAUGGAAGCAAAAUGAUAACAAAAAAAGAAAAGAGCAAACAAAGGAGAUGAGCACAGAUCUCAAGCAAGCAUCAAUGAAUCUAGUAGCUUUGAGCGAGAAGAACAGUGGAAAUUUUGCAAGUAGUGGAGACUCUCAAAUGCCCUUUAAUGAAAUGCACCACGAUCAAGGAAGCUAUGGUAUGGAUAUAUAUCGUUUGAGGGUUGCUAAAGCAGCUUCACGAUAAAAUUUGGCAGCUUCCUGUGUGUCCCAAAGAAAUGCGGAUGUAGCUAACUACCUGUCAGUUUUAGCAGCAAUUAAAAGAGACAGUGGCAUGGGUGUAGCUAUGUGGAAUCUAGAAUGUAAUGCUUCGAGAACUCGUCAGGGUGCUAGUCUGCUGGUGCUGGUGAUGCUGGUUGUUGUUGUUGUUCUUGUGUUAUUGUGUUGUUGCUGGAGAUGAAGUUGUCCACAUAUGCGGAGGAGGCGGAUUCCAUUUUGGGCAAUUGUCACCUCAGCCCAUCCCUCCUUAUCAAACCGAAUAAGGUUCGAAUUGGAUACA
RNAcentral lists this small RNA (1494 nucleotides) under Histoplasma capsulatum var. duboisii H88. RNAcentral describes it as "Histoplasma capsulatum H88 hypothetical RNA". Lineage: Eukaryota; Fungi; Ascomycota; Eurotiomycetes; Onygenales; Ajellomycetaceae. The record is from RNAcentral.